AGUGGCACUAGGAUUGGACUUGAGUUAGCUCUUCACCUUGAUCUUGGUAUUAAUGAAGAUCAUUGAUUUAUCGUGAUGGGAGGUCUACUGCCAAAGCCAGGUGGUCUCUAGUGAGUGCCACAGUCAAGGAUACCCACUUGGCACAGUGCAGACUCAGAGGAAGAAAGUGGAGUAUGGAAUAGAACAAGGCCAGCUGCCAGGCUCCCCGUGACCACUGGUUUCCAAGGCAUGAGUUGUGCUUGUUAAAAAUACAGAUUCCUCGGCCCAAAUUCCAAAGAUCUUGUUUUAGUAGAAUUUCAGAGAGUUGGCUUCUUUUUCCCGGGGUUGCUGACCGGAUAGGCUGAGCCUGGAGCUGCGGGGCCGUGAGGCCUCUGCCCUGGGAGAGCCUGCCCUGAAGAGAACAGGCCUGCAGGUUUGGGGGCUGGUGGCUUCAGUUCAGACUUCCUUCUGCCAAGUCUCACUUUCACGAGUCAGCUGGACUCCUCCUCUGCCCCUCAGGGUGUCCCGUGGACGACACUCCUCCCCCUGAGGAGCACAAGGGGCCUUUCUUUGGAGCUGGAGCCCAGUAAGCCAAUGCCUGUACUCUGGGCCAAAACUACCACAGAG
This 606-nucleotide long non-coding RNA is filed under the name Equus caballus (horse). RNAcentral describes it as "lncRNA (ENSECAG00000047219.1)". Lineage: Eukaryota; Metazoa; Chordata; Mammalia; Perissodactyla; Equidae. The record is from RNAcentral.